CGCGGGGUGGAGCAGCUUGGUAGCUCGUCGGGCUCAGUAACCCGAAGGUCGUCGGUUCAAACUCCGGCCCCCGCAACCA
RNAcentral lists this transfer RNA (79 nucleotides) under Vibrio metoecus. RNAcentral describes it as "tRNA-OTHER". It matches the Rfam family "tRNA". From Rfam's summary of the family: Transfer RNA (tRNA) molecules are approximately 80 nucleotides in length. Lineage: Bacteria; Pseudomonadati; Pseudomonadota; Gammaproteobacteria; Vibrionales; Vibrionaceae. The record is from RNAcentral.